AGCGAACGCUGGCGGCAUGCCUAACACAUGCAAGUCGAACGAGACCUUCGGGUCUAGUGGCGCACGGGUGCGUAACGCGUGGGAACCUGCCCUUAGGUUCGGAAUAACUCCCCGAAAGGGGUGCUAAUACCGGAUAAUGUCUUCGGACCAAAGAUUUAUCGCCUUUGGAUGGGCCCGCGUUGGAUUAGCUAGUUGGUAGGGUAAAAGCCUACCAAGGCGACGAUCCAUAGCUGGUCUGAGAGGAUGAUCAGCCACACUGGGACUGAGACACGGCCCAGACUCCUACGGGAGGCAGCAGUGGGGAAUAUUGGACAAUGGGCGAAAGCCUGAUCCAGCAAUGCCGCGUGAGUGAUGAAGGCCUUAGGGUUGUAAAGCUCUUUUACCCGGGAUGAUAAUGACAGUACCGGGAGAAUAAGCGCCGGCUAACUCCGUG
This 433-nucleotide ribosomal RNA is filed under the name uncultured bacterium. RNAcentral's name for it is "partial 16S ribosomal RNA". It matches the Rfam family "Bacterial small subunit ribosomal RNA", at positions 29 to 507 of the family's 1533-position model. The record is from RNAcentral.